ACUCCUACGGAAGGCAGCAGUGGGGAAUAUUGGACAAUGGGGCGCAAGCCUGAUCCAGCAAUGCCGCGUGUGUGAAGAAGGCCUCGGUUGUAAGCACUUUAUCAGGAACGAAAAGACGUUGGAUUAAUACUCUGACGUGCUGACGGUACCUGAGGAAUAAGCACCGGCUAACUUCGUGCCAGCAGCCGCGGUAAU
This 195-nucleotide ribosomal RNA is filed under the name uncultured bacterium. RNAcentral describes it as "partial 16S ribosomal RNA". It matches the Rfam family "Bacterial small subunit ribosomal RNA", at positions 335 to 524 of the family's 1533-position model. The record is from RNAcentral.